RNAcentral lists this small RNA (442 nucleotides) under Oceanospirillum linum. RNAcentral's name for it is "cspA thermoregulator". It matches the Rfam family "cspA thermoregulator". The record is from Rfam by way of RNAcentral. Lineage: Bacteria; Pseudomonadati; Pseudomonadota; Gammaproteobacteria; Oceanospirillales; Oceanospirillaceae.
UUCGGUCUGUCCUUAUGUACUAUGACUGCAGCUAGAAAGAAAGCCGCUAAUUUAUAUUCUCCAAUACGUAGUUUUAUUCGUAAUACCUCGUCCUGUAGUUUCUAAGUUCAAGUCUAUUCUUCAGCAAAAAACCGCCUUUGAAGGCACUUUUACUUUUCUAAAUUCAGGUGAAUUUAUUAUGUCUAAUACUAUCCGUGGUACUGUUAAGUGGUUUAACGAAGCUAAAGGUUUUGGUUUCAUCGAGCAGCAAUCUGGUCCUGACGUGUUUGCUCACUUCAGUGCAAUUGCAAGCUCUGGAUUCAAAACUCUGACUGAAGGUCAGCAAGUUGAAUUUACUGUUACUGAUGGCGCUAAAGGCCCUCAGGCAGAGAACAUCGUUGCUCUGUAAUUUUACAGAUAACCUUGUUUGAAAGAAGCCAGUCCUAGUGACUGGCUUUUUUUG